UACGAAGGAUGCAAGCGUUAUCCGGAUUCAUUGGGUUUAGAGGGAGCGUAGGUGGCCUUAUAAGUCAGUGGUGAAAUCUCUGGGCUUAACCCAGAAAUUGCCAUUGAUACUGUAGGGCUUGAGUAUAGUUGCCGUUGGCGGAAUAUGACAUGUAGUGGUGAAAUACAUAGAGAUGUCAUAGAACACCGAUUGCGAAGGCAGCUGACGAAACUAUAACUGACACUGAGGCUCGAAAGUGCGGGGAUCAAACAGG
RNAcentral lists this ribosomal RNA (253 nucleotides) under uncultured bacterium. RNAcentral describes it as "partial 16S ribosomal RNA". It matches the Rfam family "Bacterial small subunit ribosomal RNA", at positions 524 to 776 of the family's 1533-position model. The record is from RNAcentral.